CCGAGUUGUAAUCUCUAGAAAUGUUUUCCGCGUUGGACCGCGACACAAGUCUGUUGGAAUACAGCGGCAUAGUGGUGAGACCCCCGUAUAUGGUGCGGACGCCCAGCGCUUUGUGAUACAUUUUCGAAGAGUCGAGUUGUUUGGGAAUGCAGCUCAAAUUGGGUGGUAAAUUCCAUCUAAAGCUAAAUAUUGGCGAGAGACCGAUAGCGAACAAGUACCGUGAGGGAAAGAUGAAAAGCACUUUGGAAAGAGAGUUAACAGUACGUGAAAUUGUUGGAAGGGAAACGCUUGAAGUCAGACUUGCUUGCCGAGCAAUCGGUUUGCAGGCCAGCAUCAGUUUUCCGGGAUGGAUAAUGGUAGAGAGAAGGUAGCAGUUUUCGGCUGUGUUAUAGCUCUCUGCUGGAUACAUCUUGGGGGACUGAGGAACGCAGUGUGCCUUUGGCGGGGGUUUCGACCUCUUCACACUUAGGAUGCUGGGGGAAUGGCUUUAAACGAC
This 496-nucleotide ribosomal RNA is filed under the name Rhodotorula mucilaginosa. RNAcentral describes it as "eukaryotic LSU rRNA". It matches the Rfam family "Eukaryotic large subunit ribosomal RNA", at positions 138 to 648 of the family's 3401-position model. The record is from RNAcentral. Lineage: Eukaryota; Fungi; Basidiomycota; Microbotryomycetes; Sporidiobolales; Sporidiobolaceae.